Molecule: non-coding RNA, 216 nt
Organism: Pelobates cultripes (western spadefoot toad)
Lineage: Eukaryota; Metazoa; Chordata; Amphibia; Anura; Pelobatidae
Source: the annotation of a GenBank genome assembly
GGCACAUACACAUUCAGUUAUAUACUGAUACAGAUACACACACACACACAGAUUCACACACAGAUACACAGAUACACACUCACACACACACAUUCACGCUGUCACAGAUACACACACACAUAGAGACACACUAUCACAGAUACAAACACACAGAUUCACACUAUCUUACAUACACAGACACAUGGUAUACAAAGUUGAUCUGCAGCCACCCUUAAC